Molecule: ribosomal RNA, 478 nt
Filed under: Cladosporium tenuissimum
Lineage: Eukaryota; Fungi; Ascomycota; Dothideomycetes; Cladosporiales; Cladosporiaceae
Description: eukaryotic LSU rRNA
Rfam family: 5.8S ribosomal RNA (bases 131-284)
Source: RNAcentral
AUGUUCAUAACCCUUUGUUGUCCGACUCUGUUGCCUCCGGGGCGACCCUGCCUUCGGGCGGGGGCUCCGGGUGGACACUUCAAACUCUUGCGUAACUUUGCAGUCUGAGUAAACUUAAUUAAUAAAUUAAAACUUUUAACAACGGAUCUCUUGGUUCUGGCAUCGAUGAAGAACGCAGCGAAAUGCGAUAAGUAAUGUGAAUUGCAGAAUUCAGUGAAUCAUCGAAUCUUUGAACGCACAUUGCGCCCCCUGGUAUUCCGGGGGGCAUGCCUGUUCGAGCGUCAUUUCACCACUCAAGCCUCGCUUGGUAUUGGGCAACGCGGUCCGCCGCGUGCCUCAAAUCGACCGGCUGGGUCUUCUGUCCCCUAAGCGUUGUGGAAACUAUUCGCUAAAGGGUGUUCGGGAGGCUACGCCGUAAAACAACCCCAUUUCUAAGGUUGACCUCGGAUCAGGUAGGGAUACCCGCUGAACUUAAGCA